CGGGGUGCACCAGGCGCGAAAACUCUACAAUGCAGGCAACUGCGAUAGGGGAACAUCGAGUGAUACUCAUCUUGGGUGUCUGUCCUCCCGUCUAAAAAACGGGAGUUAGCAAGGGCCGGGCAAGACCGGUGCCAGCCGCCGCGGUAAUACCGGCGGCUCGAGUGGUGGCCGAUAUUAUUGAGUCUAAAGGGUCCGUAGCCGGCUUUGCAAGUCUUUUGGGAAAUCCAGCGGCUUAACCGUUGGUCGUCCGGGAGAUACUACAUUGCUUGGGACUGGGAGAGGUAGGAGGUACUCAGGGGGUAGGAGUGAAAUCCUGUAAUCCUUUGGGGACCACCGGUGGCGAAGGCGUCCUACCAGAACAGGUCCGACGGUGAGGGACGAAAGCUAGGGGCACGAACCGGAUUAGAUACCCGGGUAGUCCUAGCCGUAAACGAUGCUCGCUAGGUGUCACAACAAUCGUGAAUUGUUGUGGUGCCGUAGGGAAGCCGUGAAGCGAGCCACUUGGGAAGUACGACCGCAAGGUUGAAACUUAAAGGAAUUGGCGGGGGAGCAC
RNAcentral lists this ribosomal RNA (553 nucleotides) under uncultured archaeon. RNAcentral describes it as "bacterial SSU rRNA". It matches the Rfam family "Archaeal small subunit ribosomal RNA", at positions 326 to 879 of the family's 1478-position model. The record is from RNAcentral.